This 701-nucleotide ribosomal RNA is filed under the name Aquipseudomonas alcaligenes. Its description in RNAcentral is "bacterial SSU rRNA". It matches the Rfam family "Bacterial small subunit ribosomal RNA", at positions 46 to 742 of the family's 1533-position model. Lineage: Bacteria; Pseudomonadati; Pseudomonadota; Gammaproteobacteria; Pseudomonadales; Pseudomonadaceae. The record is from RNAcentral.
GCCUAACACAUGCAAGUCGAGCGGAUGAGUGGAGCUUGCUCCAUGAUUCAGCGGCGGACGGGUGAGUAAUGCCUAGGAAUCUGCCUGGUAGUGGGGGACAACGUUUCGAAAGGAACGCUAAUACCGCAUACGUCCUACGGGAGAAAGCAGGGGACCUUCGGGCCUUGCGCUAUCAGAUGAGCCUAGGUCGGAUUAGCUAGUAGGUGAGGUAAUGGCUCACCUAGGCGACGAUCCGUAACUGGUCUGAGAGGAUGAUCAGUCACACUGGAACUGAGACACGGUCCAGACUCCUACGGGAGGCAGCAGUGGGGAAUAUUGGACAAUGGGCGAAAGCCUGAUCCAGCCAUGCCGCGUGUGUGAAGAAGGUCUUCGGAUUGUAAAGCACUUUAAGUUGGGAGGAAGGGCAGUAAGUUAAUACCUUGCUGUUUUGACGUUACCAACAGAAUAAGCACCGGCUAACUUCGUGCCAGCAGCCGCGGUAAUACGAAGGGUGCAAGCGUUAAUCGGAAUUACUGGGCGUAAAGCGCGCGUAGGUGGUUCAGCAAGUUGGAGGUGAAAUCCCCGGGCUCAACCUGGGAACUGCCUCCAAAACUACUGAGCUAGAGUACGGUAGAGGGUAGUGGAAUUUCCUGUGUAGCGGUGAAAUGCGUAGAUAUAGGAAGGAACACCAGUGGCGAAGGCGACUACCUGGACUGAUACUG